UGAGAACUCUAAGGAGACUGCCGGUGAUAAACCGGAGGAAGGUGGGGACGACGUCAAGUCAUCAUGGCCCUUACGUGUAGGGCUACACACGUGCUACAAUGGCGCAUACAGAGUGCUGCGAACUCGCGAGAGUAAGCGAAUCACUUAAAGUGCGUCGUAGUCCGGAUUGGAGUCUGCAACUCGACUCCA
This 189-nucleotide ribosomal RNA is filed under the name Pseudoalteromonas sp. RNAcentral's name for it is "partial 16S ribosomal RNA". It matches the Rfam family "Bacterial small subunit ribosomal RNA", at positions 1132 to 1320 of the family's 1533-position model. Lineage: Bacteria; Pseudomonadati; Pseudomonadota; Gammaproteobacteria; Alteromonadales; Pseudoalteromonadaceae. The record is from RNAcentral.